GAUGAAGAACGCAGCAAAAUGCGAUAAGUAAUGUGAAUUGCAGAAUUCAGUGAAUCAUCGAAUCUUUGAACGCACAUUGCGCCCGCUGGUAUUCCGGCGGGCAUGCCUGUUCGAGCGUCAUUUCAACCCUCAAGCCCCCGGGUUUGGUGUUGGGGAUCGGCUCUGCCCUUCUGGGCGGUGCCGCCCCCGAAAUACAUUGGCGGUCUCGCUGCUGCCUCCAUUGCGUAGUAGCUAACACCUCGCAACUGGAACGCGGCGCGGCCAUGCCGUAAAACCCCAACUUCUGAAUGUUGACCUCGGAUCAGGUAGGAAUACCCGCUGAACUUAAGCAUAUCAAUAAGCGGAGGA
Molecule: unclassified non-coding RNA, 348 nt
Filed under: soil metagenome
Description: partial contains 5.8S ribosomal RNA, internal transcribed spacer 2, and large subunit ribosomal RNA
Rfam family: 5.8S ribosomal RNA (bases 1-120)
Source: RNAcentral